ACCUGGCUGGCUCAGUCAGUAGAGCAUGCAACUCUUGAUCUCAAGGUUGUGAGUUCAAGCCCCACACUGGGUG
Molecule: transfer RNA, 73 nt
Filed under: Ailuropoda melanoleuca (giant panda)
Lineage: Eukaryota; Metazoa; Chordata; Mammalia; Carnivora; Ursidae
Rfam family: tRNA
About the family: Transfer RNA (tRNA) molecules are approximately 80 nucleotides in length. Their secondary structure includes four short double-helical elements and three loops (D, anti-codon, and T loops).
Source: Rfam by way of RNAcentral